Sphaeramia orbicularis (orbiculate cardinalfish) is the source of this 627-nucleotide non-coding RNA. NCBI's taxonomy places the organism in Eukaryota, Metazoa, Chordata, Actinopteri, Kurtiformes, Apogonidae. The record is from the annotation of a RefSeq genome assembly.
AUGACUUUGGUCUCCGUCCUCAUCUGGACUCUCCUCUGCUGCUGCUUCACAGAGUCCAGAGGCCAGGUCACAGUGACUCAGCCUGGAGCAGUGAGCUCUGAUCUGGGAGCCUCCGCCACCAUCACAUGUACCACCAGUCAGGAUGUGCAGGUUUGGGGUGGUGACCAUCAAUUACACUGGUACCAACAGAGAGAUGGAGAAACUCCUAAACUUCUCAUUUACGAAGCCACCAGUCGACAAUCAGGGAUUUCCAGUCGUUUUUCAGGCAGUGGAUCAAACUCUCAUUUCACUCUGACCAUCAGUGAUGUUCAGGCUGAAGAUGCAGCAGUUUAUUAUUGUCAGAGUGAACACAUUAUCAACAGUCAGCGUGUGUUCACACAGUGAAAAACUGUCGUACAAAAACCUCCUUCAGACUGAACAGAAACUGAACUGACGGCUGCAGCUGGAAGAUACUGCACAGACUCACACAGUUCAAUGAACACACACAACUUUUAUUAUUUUCAACAAAACACAAUGAAAAAAGUUUUACAUGAUAUACUACAUCAUUACACAGAUAUCUAUGUGUUCUGUAAAAGUAUGAGAUGAAAUAAGCAUGUGUUUAUAAUUUACCAAACUUUUAUUCUGUCU